RNAcentral lists this long non-coding RNA (768 nucleotides) under Heterocephalus glaber (naked mole-rat). RNAcentral describes it as "lncRNA (ENSHGLG00000047433.1)". Lineage: Eukaryota; Metazoa; Chordata; Mammalia; Rodentia; Bathyergidae. The record is from RNAcentral.
GGAAAACUUAACAUUCUUUUUCUUCUACCCCUGGGGAGCACCCGUCCCUAGAAUAAGUACCCCUGAACCAACCAAUCACGGAUAGUCAUGUGGCGAAUGCGGAUAGGUACACGUAAGAGGGGGCAGAGCAUCAGACACAUCACAGCCAAAUAAGGAGUUGUUUAUCAUAAAGAGCUCUCGCCGUCGGGAUGGCGGAAGGCGGAAACCAGCGCCAUCUUUAAGGCGCGGCACACGCAGCUCUCCACAGGUGACCUGAAAUGAAGGGAAAGUUAGGUCGAGUAACAGAAAAGUGGGAAAGCCUGAACAAAGAACAUGAAGCAUACUUGGGGGAGAAAACCAAAAGUGGGAAAAGAAGGUCAGGGAGUUUACCGUAUGCUUUAAUAUGACUCCAAGUUCUCAGAAAAAGGCAGUUUACAUGGAGCAGGCGUGGUGGCACAUGCCUAUAAUCCCAGCACUCAGGAGGCUGAGGCAGGAGGACCACCGUGAGUUCAAGAUCAGCCUGGCUCUGUCUCAAAAAGGGGGGCGGUUUUCCUAAGCAACUGCUCCAACGUAGGUGAAAAGCGGAAGCCCUGUAUAACAGGAAGAGCCUACCAUGCCUCUUGGAAGCAGUGGCAUUUCAAGGUCCUGCUAAGUGACCAGGCUGCCCAGGCUGGGCCUGAACUUGCAACCCUCCUGCCUCAGCCUCCCAUGGUGCCACCAUGCUCAGCUCAAAGAAUUAUUUUAAGGAUCCAGGAAAUGUAAUUAACUCAAUAAAUAUUUAAUAAGCAC